GAUGAACGCUGGCGGCGUGCCUAAUACAUGCAAGUCGAGCGAACAGACGGGGAGCUUGCUCCUCUGACGUUAGCGGCGGACGGGUGGGUAACACGUGGAUAACCUACCUAUAAGACUGGGAUAACUUCGGGAAACCGGAGCUAAUACCGGAUAAUAUAUUGAACCGCAUGGUUCAAUAGUGAAAGACGGUUUUGCUGUCACUUAUAGAUGGAUCCGCGCCGCAUUAGCUAGUUGGUAAGGUAACGGCUUACCAAGGCAACGAUGCGUAGCCGACCUGAGAGGGUGAUCGGCCACACUGGAACUGAGACACGGUCCAGACUCCUACGGGAGGCAGCAGUAGGGAAUCUUCCGCAAUGGGCGAAAGCCUGACGGAGCAACGCCGCGUGAGUGAUGAAGGUCUUCGGAUCGUAAAACUCUGUUAUUAGGGAAGAACAAAUGUGUAAGUAACUAUGCACGUCUUGACGGUACCUAAUCAGAAAGCCACGGCUAACUACGUG
This 497-nucleotide ribosomal RNA is filed under the name uncultured bacterium. Its description in RNAcentral is "partial 16S ribosomal RNA". It matches the Rfam family "Bacterial small subunit ribosomal RNA", at positions 28 to 507 of the family's 1533-position model. The record is from RNAcentral.